RNAcentral lists this ribosomal RNA (1955 nucleotides) under human gut metagenome. RNAcentral's name for it is "bacterial LSU rRNA". It matches the Rfam family "Bacterial large subunit ribosomal RNA", at positions 1 to 1980 of the family's 2925-position model. The record is from RNAcentral.
UUAAGCGACUAAGCGUACACGGUGGAUGCCCUGGCAGUCAGAGGCGAUGAAGGACGUGCUAAUCUGCGAAAAGCGUCGGUAAGGUGAUAUGAACCGUUAUAGCCGGCGAUGUCCGAAUGGGGAAACCCAGUGCAAUUCGUUGCACUAUCGUUUGAUGAAUACAUAGUCAAACGAGGCGAACCGGGGGAACUGAAACAUCUAAGUACCCCGAGGAAAAGAAAUCAACCGAGAUUCCCCCAGUAGCGGCGAGCGAACGGGGAGCAGCCCGGAGUCUGAAUCAGCUUGUGUGUUAGUGGAAGCGUCUGGAAAGUCGCAGGGUACAGGGUGAUACUCCCGUACACUAAAACGCACAGGUUGUGAACUCGAAGAGUAGGGCGGGACACGUGGUAUCCUGUCUGAAUAUGGGGGGACCAUCCUCCAAGGCUAAAUACUCCUGACUGACCGAUAGUGAACCAGUACCGUGAGGGAAAGGCGAAAAGAACCCCGGCGAGGGGAGUGAAAAAGAACCUGAAACCGUGUACGUACAAGCAGUAGGAGCCUCUUUAUGGGGUGACUGCGUACCUUUUGUAUAAUGGGUCAGCGACUUAUAUUCUGUAGCAAGGUUAACCGUAUAGGGGAGCCGCAGGGAAACCGAGUCUUAACUGGGCGUUAAGUUGCAGGGUAUAGACCCGAAACCCGGUGAUCUAGCCAUGGGCAGGUUGAAGGUUGGGUAACACUAACUGGAGGACCGAACCGACUAAUGUUGAAAAAUUAGCGGAUGACUUGUGGCUGGGGGUGAAAGGCCAAUCAAACCGGGAGAUAGCUGGUUCUCCCCGAAAGCUAUUUAGGUAGCGCCUCGUGAACUCAUCUUCGGGGGUAGAGCACUGUUUCGGCUAGGGGGUCAUCCCGACUUACCAACCCGAUGCAAACUACGAAUACCGAAGAAUGUUAUCACGGGAGACACACGGCGGGUGCUAACGUCCGUCGUGAAGAGGGAAACAACCCAGACCGCCAGCUAAGGUCCCAAAGUCAUGGUUAAGUGGGAAACGAUGUGGGAAGGCCCAGACAGCCAGGAUGUUGGCUUAGAAGCAGCCAUCAUUUAAAGAAAGCGUAAUAGCUCACUGGUCGAGUCGGCCUGCGCGGAAGAUGUAACGGGGCUAAACCAUGCACCGAAGCUGCGGCAGCGACACUAUGUGUUGUUGGGUAGGGGAGCGUUCUGUAAGCCGUUGAAGGUGGCCUGUGAGGGUUGCUGGAGGUAUCAGAAGUGCGAAUGCUGACAUAAGUAACGAUAAUGCGGGUGAAAAACCCGCACGCCGGAAGACCAAGGGUUCCUGUCCAACGUUAAUCGGGGCAGGGUGAGUCGACCCCUAAGGCGAGGCCGAAAGGCGUAGUCGAUGGGAAACAGGUUAAUAUUCCUGUACUUGGUGUUACUGCGAAGGGGGGACGGAGAAGGCUAUGUUAGCCGGGCGACGGUUGUCCCGGUUUAAGCAUGUAGGCGGAUGUUCCAGGUAAAUCCGGAACGUUACUAACGCUGAGGUGUGAUGACGAGGCACUACGGUGCUGAAGUGACAAAUGCCCUGCUUCCAGGAAAAGCCUCUAAGCAUCAGGUAACAUCAAAUCGUACCCCAAACCGACACAGGUGGUCAGGUAGAGAAUACCAAGGCGCUUGAGAGAACUCGGGUGAAGGAACUAGGCAAAAUGGUGCCGUAACUUCGGGAGAAGGCACGCUGAUAUGUAGGUGAAGUGGUUUACCCAUGGAGCUGAAAUCAGUCGAAGAUACCAGCUGGCUGCAACUGUUUAUUAAAAACACAGCACUGUGCAAACACGAAAGUGGACGUAUACGGUGUGACGCCUGCCCGGUGCCGGAAGGUUAAUUGAUGGGGUUAUCCGUAAGGAGAAGCUCUUGAUCGAAGCCCCGGUAAACGGCGGCCGUAACUAUAACGGUCCUAAGGUAGCGAAAUUCCUUGUCAGGUAAG